Molecule: long non-coding RNA, 641 nt
Organism: Papaver somniferum (opium poppy)
Lineage: Eukaryota; Viridiplantae; Streptophyta; Magnoliopsida; Ranunculales; Papaveraceae
Exons: 2
Source: RefSeq, a predicted model, not a curated record
UCUCCAUUCCUUUUUUUCCAUCGAAGUUCUUCGUUCCAUUAAAAUUUUCUCAGUUUCAAAUUUUGGGUUCAGGGUUUUGGUUUGAUUGAACAUUCAAUCAUCAUCUAUCCUGUAACCUUAAAUUCAAAAUUGGGUGAAUUCAUUGAAUUACUUCCACGUUAAUUAAUUAUAGAGAAUCAUCAACCAUUUUUUUUCCAGGAGAUCCCAAUUUAUUUUUAUUAACCGACGAUUGCAAACUUCAGACUUGGGGAAAAAAAAUCUGAUCGAAUUUUUUUUGAGUCAAUCAGGAUCCUUGUUGGAACCGGGGAAAGUUUCCAUAAUGCAUAUGAGACUAUUGCGUUAGUUGGUUUGAUUUAGUUUGAGUUAUUCCUUAGAACGAUGGUACAAUGCAAAAGCCUUUAGCAAUCAACACUCAGAACCAAAAAUUUCUUUUUGGACAUGUAUGUUGUAUUCGGAGUUGGGUAGAGCAUUUACUAUCGCUUCCUAUAAAUUUGGAUUUUUCUUAUUUAUUUAUUUAUUUGCAUCAUGCUUUAUUUCCUGGGUUCGAAGAGGAUACUAAAUUUUAUCUUCCCGGGAAUGACCUUCUAAAGUGUUUGCAUGUUCCUAUUUCCAGCUCUUAGUGGUGUGAUUUUUGGGUACGA